RNAcentral lists this transfer RNA (72 nucleotides) under Bos taurus (domestic cattle). It matches the Rfam family "tRNA". From Rfam's summary of the family: Transfer RNA (tRNA) molecules are approximately 80 nucleotides in length. Lineage: Eukaryota; Metazoa; Chordata; Mammalia; Artiodactyla; Bovidae. RNAcentral also lists the same sequence under 1 other name. The record is from Rfam by way of RNAcentral.
UCCCUAGUAGCUCAGAUAGUAAAGAAUCUGCCUGCAAUGCAGGAGACCCAGGUUCAAUCCCUGGGUCAGGAA